Molecule: long non-coding RNA, 947 nt
Filed under: Pan troglodytes (chimpanzee)
Lineage: Eukaryota; Metazoa; Chordata; Mammalia; Primates; Hominidae
Description: lincRNA
Source: RNAcentral
GCGAGCUGGAGCUGGAGCUGGUGUUCAGUAGCUGAUGGCGUGGGGCUUCCCUGGCCGGGCCCAUGCAGGUUUGCUUAGGCCAGUACACUCGCGUGGGGUCCACACUGCCUGAGGCAGGCACCCCCGCGCCCCAUCCUUGUAGGUUUGUAAUAUGAGCGCCUCCUCCAAGCAGCCCAGAAGCCGGCCAGGCCCUGAAUGGGUUCUGGAGAGUCUUGCAGCCCCAUCCAGCACAUGACCCAGGACAGGGCCACCCAGCUGUCCUCCCCAGCCCCAUCCAGCACCCAACCCCACCCUGCAUCAGCUGCUCUCCUUGGAACCAAGCUUGAGGGGUGGGGCAAAGGUGACCCCAGCACGCAGCACAGUGCCAGGCAUGGAACUGACACGUGAUGCCCGUCUGUUUAACGAGUGAACAAAGGCACCAGAGGCUUUCUUCCCUUGAACACCAAUCUUCCAACCUAGAUUAGCAGCCGAGCGAGAGGCGGCGUCUGAACAGCACCCUGGGAUCAGGCAGGGCACGCUUCCCACAUGUGUCUUGCUCGUUCACUAAACAAAUAUUUGUGCUUGGCACCAGUUGAUAUGUUGGCAUUGUGUUUCAUCUGAUUGUGUGUUAUUUAAAAAACUCCUAUUACUAAAUCCAUUAAGCAACCAAACUGCUAGAGUCACUAGAUUAAAAUGCAUGACACACAACUACAGGAAAAUGUCAGGAAAUGCAAAUCCAGGCAGGCGUCCUCAGACAUAUCAGCUAUGAGGAAACUCUCUCUAGGAGAUCUGUGUUUUCCUCCCAAAAGAAGAUCAUCUUUCCAGAAAAAGAGGAUUUUACAGUCAAUUUGCUAAAAUAAUAUAAAUUUGUCUCCUUCCGGGGACUUACAUAUGUUAGUACAUAAUUGGUGUCUUUAUUGAUGGCUGUAAGAACCAAUACCUCCAAAAUAAACAGAAUUUGUACAUUA